Molecule: ribosomal RNA, 497 nt
Filed under: uncultured bacterium
Lineage: Bacteria
Description: partial 16S ribosomal RNA
Rfam family: Bacterial small subunit ribosomal RNA
Source: RNAcentral
GAUGAACGCUGGCGGCGUGCCUAAUACAUGCAAGUCGAGCGAACAGAUGAGGAGCUUGCUCCUCUGACGUUAGCGGCGGACGGGUGAGUAACACGUGGAUAACCUACCUAUAAGACUGGGAUAACUACGGGAAACCGGAGCUAAUACCGGAUAAUAUAUUGAACCGCAUGGUUCAAUAGUGAAAGACGGUUUUGCUGUCACUUAUAGAUGGAUCCGCGCCGCAUUAGCUAGUUGGUAAGGUAACGGCUUACCAAGGCAACGAUGCGUAGCCGACCUGAGAGGGUGGUCGGCCACACGGGAACUGGAACACGGUCCAGACUCCUACGGGAGGCAGCAGUAGGGAAUCUGCCGCAAUGGGCGAAAGCCUGACGGAGCAACGCCGCGUGAGUGAUGAAGGUCUUCGGAUCGUAAAACUCUGUUAUUAGGGAAGAACAAAUGUGUAAGUAACUAUGCACGUCUUGACGGUACCUAAUCAGAAAGCCACGGCUAACUACGUG